AAACAUGGAGAGAGUCCAGAAACGUCGCAGGCUUCUUGAUGUUGAUGAAAUUCACCGUAAAGUGGCUUGUCUACCCUUCAAAACAGGAUAUGUACUUAUGCCUUUAUUGCACAGCAUGGAGCGAAAAGACUAAAAAAGGGAUGGCUUGGGUAAGGGCAGUGUGGCAAGAGAAGACAAGGCAAGAGGAAGGGACGGUGCCGGACAGCUGGGUGGACCCAAAGAGCAUGUUAUUGUACUGGCCAAAUGUUGCAAAUGCAACAAGAUAUUUGAAGGAACGACGGCCACCAUCUGAUAGUUGGAGAAAGUUUCCACUUGUGAAAGAGAAGAUGAGAUCUGGUAGGUAACUUUACACGUUACAUCUAUUAUGUGCAUGUUAAUAAAUGACAACAUUUUUGCUUUGCCUUUCUUUACAUUAUUUUUGAUUUAUAGAUUACUUUAAAGAGUGUGACAACUGUGAACUCACAAGUAGUACAGAAGCUGAAGAAGGUUCACUGGAAGCAAAAAGAAGAAAAAUAUCGAAGAAAUUUGAAGACUGCUUGACAGAUCAUAGUUGUGACACUGAUCCACAAUUCGAAGAAGAAGAUAACCUUGGAAAUCGUCAGCUUCCUAACAGUAAUGAAGCAGAGCUAGAACUUCCUGUUGCUCCAAGGAAGGUGUGCAAGCUCUCCAAUGCAAGCUCUACAUCUUCUGUUUCAUCCAGGGGAUCAAGCUCUGGCUCUCCAUUGCCACUUCAAAAAAAGCAGACUUCAACAUCACAGGCCCCUGUGCAAACUAAGGAGGCCACAUCAAAAAACCAGACCAGACAACAUUCUGAUGGAGAACCGUCUUCACAAGAAAUCAGACAAUCUGGGUCACCUGUUGAUCGACAGUCCAGCAGCUCCAAACAAGAUGAAAAACGCUCCCCAUACCCAAUGCAAGAAGCAAAAUUCCAGAGAAAAGUAAUGGAGAUGCUUGUUGAAAUCCGUGAAGACAUCCGCACAUUAAAGAAAAGUGUGGGGGAUGCAGAAAUGCAUACUGUCUCAAAGAUUCCUGCCCAGUCCUCAACUGUUGAGGAACUUAACAUCCUUGAUAAAUCCCUCAACUGCUUGGAUGAGAAGCUGAGACUGAUUGAUAGCUUGUCCAGUGUUGGAGGGAUGCACCUGAAGGACAAUGUCAAGAGGGUCAUGGAGAAGUUGAUGACAAACGAGGUCAUGGCCCGUUUCAAUAUGAAGGGGGGGAAGGGGAAGCUUGCUUUCACCAAGCUCAAUCUGUACACUGUUGUCACAGAGAGUGUCCAGAAAACAUCUAAAGAGACGGAGGCAAACAUUGCAGCGGCCAUCGCCUUUUGUUUAAAAUAUGCCCCAGACAGGGCGGGUGGAGGUGGCAGGAAAAAAAGCUGUGAAUAAAACUGAUGUUAAUAUGUUUUGAAAAAUAAUCAGUUCCAAUAAGGUUGGUGUUAAAAUUAAAUUAUUUUGAAAAUGUUCUGUUCCAAUAAUGUUAAUAAUAAAACAAAUAAAUAAAUCA
Long non-coding RNA from Cyprinus carpio (common carp), 1503 nucleotides. Lineage: Eukaryota; Metazoa; Chordata; Actinopteri; Cypriniformes; Cyprinidae. The record is from Ensembl.